GGCCCAAACUUCUACGGGAGGCUGCAGUAGGGAAUCUUCCACAAUGGGCGAAAGCCUGAUGGAGCAACGCCGCGUGUGUGAUGAAGGCUUUCGGGUCGUAAAGCACUGUUGUAUGGGAAGAACAGCUAGAGUAGGGAAUGACUUUAGUUUGACGGUACCAUACCAGAAAGGGACGGCUAAAUACGUGCCAGCAGCCGCGGUAAUACGUAUGUCCCGAGCGUUAUCCGGAUUUAUUGGGCGUAAAGCGAGCGCAGACGGUUAAUUAAGUCUGAUGUGAAAGCCCGGAGCUCAACUCCGGAAAGGCAUUGGAAACUGGUUAACUUGAGUGCAGUAGAGGUAAGUGGAACUCCAUGUGUAGCGGUGGAAUGCGUAGAUAUAUGGAAGAACACCAGCGGCGAAGGCGGCUUACUGGACUGUAACUGACGUUGAGGCUCGAAAGUGUGGGUAGCAAACAGGAUUAGAUACCCUGGUAGUCCACACCGUAAACGAUGAACACUAGGUGUUAGGAGGUUUCCGCCUCUUAGUGCCGAAGCUAACGCAUUAAGUGUUCCGCCUGGGGAGUACGACCGCAAGGUUGAAACUCAAAGGAAUUGACGGGGACCCGCACAAGCGGUGGAGCAUGUGGUUUAAUUCGAAGCAACGCGAAGAACCUUACCAGGUCUUGACAUCCUUUGAAGCUUUUAGAGAUAGAAGUGUUCUCUUCGGAGACAAAGUGACAGGUGGUGCAUGGUCGUCGUCAGCUCGUGUCGUGAGAUGUUGGGUUAAGUCCCGCAACGAGCGCAACCCUUAUUGUUAGUUGCCAGCAUUCAGAUGGGCACUCUAGCGAGACUGCCGGUGACAAACCGGAGGAAGGCGGGGACGACGUCAGAUCAUCAUGCCCCUUAUGACCUGGGCUACACACGUGCUACAAUGGCGUAUACAACGAGUUGCCAACCUGUGAAGGUGAGCUAAUCUCUUAAAGUACGUCUCAGUUCGGACUGCAGUCUGCAACUCGACUGCACGAAGUCGGAAUCGCUAGUAAUCGCGGAUCAGCACGCCGCGGUGAAUACGUUCCCGGGUCUUGUACACACCGCCCGUCACACCAUGGGAGUUUGUAAUGCCCAAAGCCGGUGGCCUAACCGUAAGGAGGGAACC
Molecule: ribosomal RNA, 1134 nt
Filed under: Leuconostoc gasicomitatum
Lineage: Bacteria; Bacillati; Bacillota; Bacilli; Lactobacillales; Lactobacillaceae
Description: bacterial SSU rRNA
Rfam family: Bacterial small subunit ribosomal RNA
Source: RNAcentral